This 425-nucleotide ribosomal RNA is filed under the name uncultured bacterium. RNAcentral describes it as "partial 16S ribosomal RNA". It matches the Rfam family "Bacterial small subunit ribosomal RNA", at positions 354 to 796 of the family's 1533-position model. The record is from RNAcentral.
GUGGGGAAUCUUGCGCAAUGGGCGCAAGCCUGAUCCAGCCAUGCCGCGUGAACGAUGAAGGCCUUCGGGUUGUAAAGUUCUUUAGCCGAUGAUUAUAAUGACUGUAGUCGGAAAAUAAGCCCCGGCUAACUUCGUGCCAGCAGCCGCGGUAAUACGAAGGGGGCGAGCGUUAUUCGGAAUCACUGGGCGUAAAGCGUGCGUAGGCGGUCUCGUAAGUUAGGAGUGAAAGCCCAGGGCUCAACCUUGGAAUUGCUCUUAAUACUGCAAGGCUAGAAUCUCGGAGAGGAUAGCGGAAUUUCCAGUGUAGCAGUGAAAUGCGUAGAUAUUGGAAGGAACACCAGUGGCGUAAGCGGCUAUCUGGACGAGUAUUGACGCUGAGGCACGAAAGCGUGGGGAUCAAACAGGAUUAGAAACCCUAGUAGUCC